GUACUGUACCAAAUCAAUGUACACCUGUAGAAAGGGCAAUUCUGGAAACACUAGAGAAAAUGGACAUGAAGAUCCACCAUCUGACUUCAUUGGUUCAGUCUCUAGUGGGGGACAGGCGUGUUGUACCCCAAAUACAGAUGGCUGAAGAGGAAGAGUGUGUUUUUCCUCUAGCAUCUACUGCAGACCUAGAUAGGCUGGAACAAAGAUUAUCAGACAGAGGGUUUAUGCAGAGAAUGGUGAACAGAUUAUCCAUCAGUGGCGAGCCAAG
Molecule: long non-coding RNA, 268 nt
Organism: Sinocyclocheilus rhinocerous
Lineage: Eukaryota; Metazoa; Chordata; Actinopteri; Cypriniformes; Cyprinidae
Exons: 3
Source: RefSeq, a predicted model, not a curated record